GAUGAACGCUGGCGGCGUGCCUAAUACAUGCAAGUCGAGCGAACAGACGAGGAGCUUGCUCCUCGGACGUUAGCGGCGGACGGGUGGGUAACACGUGGAUAACCUACCUAUAAUACUGGGAUAACUUCGGGAAGCCGGAGCUAAUACCGGAUAAUAUAUUGAACCGCAUGGUUCAUUAGUGAAAGACGGUUUUGCUGUCACUUAUAGAUGGAUCCGCGCCGCAUUAGCUAGUUGGUAAGGUAACGGCAUACCAAGGCGACGAUGCGUAGCCGACCUGAGAGGGUGAUCGGCCACACUGGAACUGAGACACGGUCCAGACUCCUACGGGAGGCAGCAGUAGGGAAUCUUCCGCAAUGGGCGAAAGCCUGACGGAGCAACGCCGCGUGAGUGAUGAAGGUCUUCGGAUCGUAAAACUCUGUUAUUAGGGAAGAACAAAUGUGUAAGUAACUAUGCACGUCUUGACGGUACCUAAUCAGAAAGCCACGGCUAACUACGUG
RNAcentral lists this ribosomal RNA (497 nucleotides) under uncultured bacterium. RNAcentral's name for it is "partial 16S ribosomal RNA". It matches the Rfam family "Bacterial small subunit ribosomal RNA", at positions 28 to 507 of the family's 1533-position model. The record is from RNAcentral.